UAGGGAAUCUUCCGCAAUGGACGCAAGUCUGACGGAGCAACGCCGCGUGAGUGAAGAAGGAUUUCGGUUCGUAAAACUCUGUUGUUAGAGAAGAACAGCGCAUAGAGUAACUGUUAUGCGUGUGACGGUAUCCAACCAGAAAGCCACGGCUAACUACGUGCCAGCAGCCGCGGUAAUACGUAGGUGGCAAGCGUUAUCCGGAAUUAUUGGGCGUAAAGCGCGCGUAGGCGGUUUUUUAAGUCUGAUGUGAAAGCCCACGGCUCAACCGUGGAGGGUCAUUGGAAACUGGAAAACUUGAGUGCAGAAGAGGAAAGUGGAAUUCCAUGUGUAGCGGUGAAAUGCGCAGAGAUAUGGAGGAACACCAGUGGCGAAGGCGACUUUCUGGUCUGUAACUGACGCUGAUGUGCGAAAGCGUGGGGAUCAAACAGG
RNAcentral lists this ribosomal RNA (429 nucleotides) under Bacteroidota bacterium. RNAcentral's name for it is "Bacteroidetes bacterium partial 16S ribosomal RNA". It matches the Rfam family "Bacterial small subunit ribosomal RNA", at positions 355 to 776 of the family's 1533-position model. Lineage: Bacteria; Pseudomonadati; Bacteroidota. The record is from RNAcentral.